RNAcentral lists this long non-coding RNA (265 nucleotides) under Populus tremula. RNAcentral's name for it is "long non-coding RNA (PTRE_LNC002335)". The record is from RNAcentral. Lineage: Eukaryota; Viridiplantae; Streptophyta; Magnoliopsida; Malpighiales; Salicaceae.
UGAAUUCAAGCAUCCAAAAGGCAAAGGUGACAUUGGCAAUUGAAACUGCGGCUGUUCAUGUGCCUGUGGCGCUACCAUUCCCGCUGACUGCGAGGGAUUUAUUCCUUGUUGCUGGGGCGGGACGGGAAAUUGCUGCUUUGAAGCUGUUUGAUUGUCCCAUCUAGAUGAAACAAGCGGUGCCAGCGGCGAGAAUCCCGAGAACUGCUUGUUAGAAUCAACAGCCGAGAUCGUGUUCUGGAGAUACCGCAUGUAAGCAGAAACUGGC